GUAAUCCCAAAGAACAGCAUCGGAGUAAUUUUUUACUCUGGGGAAAGUCCUCGGACAAAUCGCAGAAACGCACCCUGAAAAGGAAAGUUUAGUCAUUUGAAAUAGUUAUGCUGUUAGGUAUUGGUCUACCAAACAAAAUGAGGCUUACUCUUGGGAGUACAACCC
Tubulinosema ratisbonensis is the source of this 165-nucleotide non-coding RNA. NCBI's taxonomy places the organism in Eukaryota, Fungi, Microsporidia, Tubulinosematidae. The record is from the annotation of a GenBank genome assembly.